Molecule: long non-coding RNA, 250 nt
Filed under: Capsella grandiflora
Lineage: Eukaryota; Viridiplantae; Streptophyta; Magnoliopsida; Brassicales; Brassicaceae
Description: long non-coding RNA (CGRA_LNC000089)
Source: RNAcentral
UCAGAGUAACAUUAAGGAAUAAAAUUAAAAAAUUUAAUUAUCUUCUCUAAUCAGAAGAUCCAAAUUUUAAUUUCUGUAAUUAGUCAAGAAUAAUUAAAAAGGUAUAGUGUACUGUUCUGUUCUGUUGUGGGUUACUUUAAAAGAUUUGGAAGCAUGUCGGCGAAGUUCGAAGGAUCCUUUACGUAGUAGAUAGGCCACAGGUGGUUUCAAUCCUUCCUUCCUCAAAAGAUCCAUUUUCGAAUUUUAANNN